UGGCCCAAUUGAUUUACAUGGUA
Molecule: non-coding RNA, 23 nt
Filed under: Arabidopsis thaliana (thale cress)
Lineage: Eukaryota; Viridiplantae; Streptophyta; Magnoliopsida; Brassicales; Brassicaceae
Source: RNAcentral